Long non-coding RNA from Panicum virgatum (switchgrass), 306 nucleotides. RefSeq lists it as uncharacterized. The record is from RefSeq and is a predicted model, not a curated record. Lineage: Eukaryota; Viridiplantae; Streptophyta; Magnoliopsida; Poales; Poaceae. The transcript is spliced from 3 exons.
AUAUGUCAAAUAAAGUAAACAAAAUAUAUAUUGUUGUAGGUGAUUAGAGGAUGGAAGGAUGCAGUUCCUUGAUAAACUAAACUUGUGGAGCAACAACUGGUAGAAAGAAAAGGGCGAGAGAGUGCGUUACUGGAAUUGUGUGGACAUGGGUUAGGCUGCUGUCAGCCUGUCAUACAAAAAUAGAAGACAUGGUUUAUCUCACCACUUUGUGCCGAAUUAUGGAAGGAAGAAAGGACAAAAGAAUGGCAUUCAGAGCAACAAUUGAGCAAGCACAACUGCGUUAGCACGGGCCAACUUACUAGUCCA